UGAUAGACUGGUUCCCUGCAUGAAAGCUCCUGUUUGUCGCUGACUGUGUUUUUUUUUGCCUCCAUUUAUGUGUUCACUAUAAUGUGUUGGAUAAAUGUUCAUGUGUAUUUAAAGUCAUUCAUGAAAAAAAUGUGGGGGAAAUACAAUGUUGUUGUUUUUUCAGGCUAAACAACCAAAUAUUUCAUGACACCCUUGCAGUACCUAACCCAGACUACCUGUUGACGACCUCUGCUCUAACUCCUCACCUGUUUCCAUUCAAGUUUUUCAUCAUCCACCAGAACUCUCAUCAGCUCAGGAAUAGCCAAAGCCGGGCAGUUUGCUGAAAUCCGUGCGAACAACCUCCCUGCAGCCAAACUUGGAGACCUUGAAACGGCGGAUGAUGUCUUGCAGGGUAGCAGAAACCACAAAGUAUUCCUGCUUCAGACGCAGCUCCUUGCCCUCAAAAAACUGAAAAAGGAGAUCGCAAGAGACACCGUGAAGUGGAGGUGCCGGUUGAAGUUCAGCUUCAGCUCGGCAACAUUAUCAACCCCAGCCAGGCCUCGCACCGAGAUCUGUUUCUUCCUGUCAUGGUCGGACAAGGGCUUGGACAUGGCGCUUCAGGGUUUAGCAGCUGAAAAGUAAAAACACGGUAAACGUUUCCAGUGGGGAAGACACGCUGUUGAUGAGGACGUCUGGCAGCUACAGUGGCUAACUCCUUUUCCCUCGCAUCGUUGGCAGGGAUGUCUCAGGUAGCAGAUGGUAUAUUAAAUCUUCAACCGAUGUAUUUUGUUUUUGCAGAAGCAAAGUACUGCAAAAGCCUGCCAAUUACCAUAAGGUCGGGCAACGCUAUAUUUGCAAGAUGCCGCACGGCGUCGGAGCUAUCUGCAUUGCAGACAAACAUUGCAGUCUCGGUUAUGACCCAGCAUGUGUUACAUUGUCUCACCGGUGUCGCAGCAGUACUGUAACAAGUCCUUGCGAAGCACUGAUUCAGGGUUUGUGUGUGUGUGUGUGCGUGUGCGUGUGUAUUGAUCACAUUUAUUCAACAGCUCGCAGCCAUAUCAGACUCAUCUAGCCAUAUCAGACUCAUCUGCAACAGAGCCACUAAAGCCCACUCUAUUUUGAGUUAUUGCACUCGCAAGCCAAACUAUCGUAAUGUCUUGACCUUCCAUAAAUAGUAACUUUGACCCAAUCCCAAAGGCCAUGAUAUUUGAAAGGCAUAUCUUGUUAAUGUCAGCAAGAGCCGGCAGAAAACACUAGUGUAUUUCAAGCACUUGUGUCGGAAGACGCUGUUGUCAGCGAGCUGCAAGACGGGUCCUGCUUGUGGAGUGAAAUUGGUCCAGGCUGUUAUUUUACUGUCAACAUGCACUGGAUUUCAUCGCGCUUUCAUUACGAGUUGACAGUUAAAGUAAAGGGGUAGAAAUUAACACGUCUUUCAAAUCAUUUGCGCACUGGACACGUUGCAUGAAGAAGUGUCUGACAAACAGGGACGCUGUUGCCAAACAACCCCCCUCCACCCACACAACACAUAAAUUCAAUUGCAAAUGUUUUCUAAUGGCAAAUGCUGUCAAGUUAUUUCAUGCGGUUUAAUAAUUCCAUCCACACCAUGUUCCAACUAAUGUCCCUGCAUCCCCAAUGACCCCCACAACGAAGGAACUAUCACACAGCCGAUGACAGAGAUUGAAGCUGGCGUGUCCCUGAUUUGUCCAUUAUGAUGAGCAAAUUACGUUCCUACAUGUCUACUGGCUGUUCUGUCAAAUAUCGUGUGAGGCAUUUAUAGACCACACUCUGUUUCCAGCCAGAUAGACACCGGAAAUAGUGCAUUUAUUUAGAUAAAGCUGAAUAUUCUGCCCAUCAAAUUGUGACCAUUGAGCCACUUAAACAGGAUGCCAGCAAUAGCGUUCCUAAACCAUCUGAAUGUAUUUGCUUUUUUAAAACCAUUUAACCCUCGUGUUGUGAAUAGCUAACCGUAAUCACAGUUAUUAGCUCAAUCCAAUCUAAUCCACGCCAAUGACGGUCGCUAGUGCUUAAAAAUAGCUUAAAACCACUUGAAUAAAACAUGGACAAAUUAGAUAAAUCACCAUGGAACAAUACAAAUGGCAGCAUUUUAUCUAUUUUGGCUAUGGAGCACAUACAGUACUAAAACAUUUAAUUUGUUGAUUAUAAUACCAAUGUUCUGUCAUCUUAAAAACAGAUCAGGAAAAUACAUCCCAAUAUAUUCUGCAAGCUCUAGAAACAAACCAACACCUUAAGCUACCACAUCCCCUGACAACAUCUCUGCACCCACAUACCAUAAAUGUAUCUGAAAGCUGUCUCGCACAAUAACGUGUUACAUUCGCAGGGGGCGGCCUUGGCCUACAUCUCAAACGUACACUUUUGUAGAAGAUGUUGAAGGCACAAUAUCGAGAUGGAAAAUGUUGUAUACUGUGUGUCUGGUCAGUACUUGUGUACAGUUGUGGUCAGAAGUUUGCAUACACUCAUUGGCAGGACUGUCACAUCAAUGUUGGGCACUUAAGCAAUCUUUUUGCAAAUUAUAAUUGUUUUAAAACAUACAUUUUUAAAUGUGUUUUUUAACACAACAAUUUGAUACACAGGUUUGAAUUUAUUUUUGCCAUUUUCUAUUUAUAGAACAAUAUACAUACAGGUGGUCCUCUGGUUUCAACAAGUUCCAUUUCUAGACUGUGAUGUAAGUCAUUUUUUUGUGUAAUUCUGAACAUAUACCUAAAUAGAUAAACACCUUUUAAGAAUUAAAUUAAACAGUGAUAAAAAGAGAAAAACUACCUACUUUUGUGUGGGUGUUAGACCGGGUUGAAGGAGCAGCAGCUUCUCAAGUUCAUUACCUUUUCUGACUGUAAAUAUUUACUAUACCAAUACUCUGAUAAUGUGUUACAUACAUUUAGUCAUGCAUUUGGCAGAUACUUUACUUCCCUGAAGAAAAGGUGAAAAUAUAAGUCGUUGAAUUAAUUCAGUAGGCCAUAAAAGGCUAUUUUUAGUUUUCUUUGUUGUGGUUUUUAUUAUGGUGAACUGACAAGAUAAGUAGGUUAUAUAUUUUCUUUUAACUGAAUGUUCUUUCCAAUAAUUGCAUCAGUCUGGGAGUUGUGUAGGGUUAAAAUGGCAG
This is a long non-coding RNA of Entelurus aequoreus (snake pipefish), 3094 nucleotides long. RefSeq lists it as uncharacterized. The transcript is spliced from 4 exons. The record is from RefSeq and is a predicted model, not a curated record. NCBI's taxonomy places the organism in Eukaryota, Metazoa, Chordata, Actinopteri, Syngnathiformes, Syngnathidae.